Molecule: long non-coding RNA, 1433 nt
Organism: Triticum dicoccoides
Lineage: Eukaryota; Viridiplantae; Streptophyta; Magnoliopsida; Poales; Poaceae
Exons: 6
Source: RefSeq, a predicted model, not a curated record
CUGAACCUACCUCGCGGUCUUCUUCCAGUCGUGAUUGGCUGCUCCUAGUUGAUACUACUAGAUCUGAUAUCCAAAUUCACGCCCGCAUUUCUCGCAGCAAUUCGAUCUGACACAUUGGCUGCGAGUUUAGUCCUUCUGCCAUGUGGAUUGUCCUGUGCAGUAUAUUCAGUUUCCCGUUUGAGUUUGUGGAAUGCAUCUGCAACUCUUCAAAUCGAAUGUUCUCUAAUUUACACGGGCUAAUUCUACUUUGAAAUUCCCAUUUUAACCCUUGUACGAGCUCUUGUGUCCAGGCUAAACUAAACGCAGCAGAAUUUCCCUUUACAAGAAUGUUACAAGCUAUCGGGUGCUCAACUUUGUUCCUUUCUUCAAAGGACUGAAACAGAGUGGUAUAAAUAUUUGCAAACUCAGAUAGCCCCUAGUCCACACCACAGGCAUUCUGCACACAAACACAAUAGUAUUAGUAUAUCGGAGGGAGCAACAAAAGCUUUCUGCCGGCAAUGGCGGAGGUUGGGGGCAUGAUUGCGAGUGCCGUGGCCCAUGGGGAAACAACUGGCUAGCAAGCUUGGCGAGCUUGUGAACGAGGAGAUCGCUCUGCUGUUGGGUUUCCAGGACGAAGUGGAAGGCUUGGAGGAGAAAAUGAAAGAGUUGGAGGCCGUGAUGCAUGAUGCUGACGAUAGGCUGCGCCGAGGCGAAAGAGAUGGGGAAGCAGUUGGGCGGAAGUGAUGCAUGAUCCACCACCACGAGCUCUAGUUCAUCUGUUGAUCGGAGUGUAGGUCUGAUCCAGUGGCAACAACCAGUGGAGGAGGCCUGAACAAGCCCACGUAUUUCUGAAAAUCCAGUCAUAUUUGCUAACUUCCACAUCUGCAUUGCGAGGAAGUUUUACUCAUUGUUGGAUGCGGUUGAAGAGUGAAGCCGGUAAUAGCAGAGCAUGGAGAGGCAAGCACAGCUGAGGGUGAGCAACAGGCGGAGUUUCAACAUGGGAAGAUGGAAUGGAACACUGCUUCUGAAAAGCAGGAUUGAAACAACCCGCUUCGCUGUAUGUUGGUUUCUAUGGAGCGAGCAAGUGAAAUCGUUGAAGAGCUGAUAAAACAGAGACAGAGACUGCAUAACUAAUUGACAUUGCGACAACAUUCUCUGCGCUUGUAUGGGUGGGAUGGCACAACUGUUGGUCUAGUCAGCUAAGACAGCAGUCAGACUGAGUCGUGAUGGGAGUCGAAGGCGAAGGUCAGAACUCUCUGUCAGAUGGAACAAUGAAUGACAGAAUGAAUAAUCGUGAUGGGAGUAUGAUACACAUUGUUUUCGCUAUUGUAUUUCUGAGUGUACAUGCUUGUUUUCAUGGUGCACUCAGAAUCGCGGUGUGUGCUCAUAAGAUAGCUAAUAAUUGCUUGGCUUGUUUGCAUAUCUAAUAAAUGCUACAUGUUCUUCACUUGAUA